This 1249-nucleotide ribosomal RNA is filed under the name uncultured Gammaproteobacteria bacterium. Its description in RNAcentral is "bacterial SSU rRNA". It matches the Rfam family "Bacterial small subunit ribosomal RNA", at positions 9 to 1252 of the family's 1533-position model. Lineage: Bacteria; Pseudomonadati; Pseudomonadota; Gammaproteobacteria. The record is from RNAcentral.
GAGUUUGAUCCUGGCUCAGACUGAACGCUGGCGGCAGGCUUAACACAUGCAAGUCGAACGGUAACAUGAGUGCUUGCACUUGAUGACGAGUGGCGGGCGGGUGAGUAAUGUAUGGGGAUCUGCCGAAUGGAGGGGGACAACAGUUGGAAACGACUGCUAAUACCGCAUAAAGUUGAGAGACCAAAGCAUGGGACCUUCGGGCCAUGCGCCAUUUGAUGAACCCAUAUGGGAUUAGCUAGUUGGUAGGGUAAUGGCUUACCAAGGCGACGAUCUCUAGCUGGUCUGAGAGGAUGACCAGCCACACUGGAACUGAGACACGGUCCAGACUCCUACGGGAGGCAGCAGUGGGGAAUAUUGCACAAUGGGGGAAACCCUGAUGCAGCCAUGCCGCGUGUAUGAAGAAGGCCUUCGGGUUGUAAAGUACUUUCGGUAAUGAGGAAGGUGUUGUAUCUAAUAGGUGCAUCAAUUGACGUUAAUUACAGAAGAAGCACCGGCUAACUCCGUGCCAGCAGCCGCGGUAAUACGGAGGGUGCGAGCGUUAAUCGGAAUGACUGGGCGUAAAGGGCAUGUAGGCGGAUAAUUAAGUUAGGUGUGAGAGCCCUGGGCUCAACCUAGGAAUUGCACUUAAAACUGGCUAACUAGAGUAUUGUAGAGGAAGGUAGAAUUCCACGUGUAGCGGUGAAAUGCGUAGAGAUGUGGAGGAAUACCGGUGGCGAAGGCGGCCUUCUGGACAGAUACUGACGCUGAGAUGCGAAAGCGUGGGGAGCAAACAGGAUUAGAUACCCUGGUAGUCCACGCUGUAAACGAUGUCGAUUUGGAGUUUGUUGCCUAGAGUGAUGGGCUCCGAAGCUAACGCGAUAAAUCGACCGCCUGGGGAGUACGGCCGCAAGGUUAAAACUCAAAUGAAUUGACGGGGGCCCGCACAAGCGGUGGAGCAUGUGGUUUAAUUCGAUGCAACGCGAAGAACCUUACCUGGUCUUGACAUCCACAGAAUCUUGCAGAGAUGCGAGAGUGCCUUCGGGAACUGUGAGACAGGUGCUGCAUGGCUGUCGUCAGCUCGUGUUGUGAAAUGUUGGGUUAAGUCCCGCAACGAGCGCAACCCUUAUCCUUUGUUGCCAGCGGUUUGGCCGGGAACUCAAAGGAGACUGCCGUUGAUAAAGCGGAGGAAGGUGGGGACGACGUCAAGUCAUCAUGGCCCUUACGACCAGGGCUACACACGUGCUACAAUGGCGUAUACAAAGGGAGGCGA